GAAAUGCGAUAAGUAGUGUGAAUUGCAGAAUUCAGUGAAUCAUCGAAUCUUUGAACGCACAUUGCGCCCUUUGGUAUUCCAAAGGGCAUGCCUGGUCGAGCGUCAUUUGUACCCUCAAGCUUUGCUUGGUGUUGGGCGUCUUGUCUCUAGCUUUGCUGGAGACUCGCCUUAAAGUAAUUGGCAGCCGGCCUACUGGUUUCGGAGCGCAGCACAAGUCGCACUCUCUAUCAGCAAAGGUCUAGCAUCCAUUAAGCCUUUUUUUCAACUUUUGACCUCGGAUCAGGUAGGGAUACCCGCUGAACUUAAGC
RNAcentral lists this unclassified non-coding RNA (308 nucleotides) under plant metagenome. RNAcentral's name for it is "partial contains 5.8S ribosomal RNA, internal transcribed spacer 2, and large subunit ribosomal RNA". The stretch from base 1 to 105 matches the Rfam family "5.8S ribosomal RNA", at positions 50 to 154 of the family's 154-position model. The record is from RNAcentral.